GUAGGGAAUCUUGCGCAAUGGGCGAAAGCCUGACGCAGCCAUGCCGCGUGAAUGAUGAAGGUCUUAGGAUUGUAAAAUUCUUUCACCGGGGACGAUAAUGACGGUACCCGGAGAAGAAGCCCCGGCUAACUUCGUGCCAGCAGCCGCGGUAAUACGAAGGGGGCUAGCGUUGCUCGGAAUUACUGGGCGUAAAGGGAGCGUAGGCGGAUAGUUUAGUCAGAGGUGAAAGCCCAGGGCUCAACCUUGGAAUUGCCUUUGAUACUGGCUAUCUUGAGUAUGGAAGAGGUAUGUGGAACUCCGAGUGUUGAGGUGAAAUUCGUAGAUAUUCGGAAGAACACCAGUGGCGAAGGCGACAUACUGGUCCAUUACUGACGCUGAGGCUCGAAAGCGUGGGGAGCAAACAGGAUUAGAAACCCGAGUAGUCC
This 425-nucleotide ribosomal RNA is filed under the name uncultured bacterium. RNAcentral's name for it is "partial 16S ribosomal RNA". It matches the Rfam family "Bacterial small subunit ribosomal RNA", at positions 354 to 796 of the family's 1533-position model. The record is from RNAcentral.